AUAGCUGGUUUAAGUAGGUUUCCAGACCCUCUGAAGACUGACGGGGGGAUGCUGUUUUCACUGACUGGAGUAACCCCCUGUUUAAGGAUCCUUGCUCUGGGGAGAACAGAGAAGCAUAAGUACAGGUGAAGAAAUAGCUCUAAAGGGUGACGGUAAUGGCAGUAUAGAUGAAGGUCUCUAUUCUCUGGACAUGGUAGUGGGACCAGUUGACAAACAAGAUCACAAAGAGGCAGAGUGGAGAGUAACCAUGGCACCCACAGCCAGAUGGAUUCAGUGGUUCCUCAGAACACCCUUAAUCUCCAACACCAGAAGGGAAGGGAGGGAUCUGGAGGCGGGCUCUGAAAAGCCACCUUUGCCAGCGGGGACCUGGGAGAGAGGCUUGUGUUUCUGGUAACUACACUGUCAGCCAGCAGCAGGGCUGGAGUACUAUGAUCUGAUGGAGCACUAUGAUCUGAUGGAGCAGGGGUCACGUUUUUCUUCAGUUAGUGCAUUCCAAAGCUGCCCUGUGACUGCAAAGUAGACUGGGGCUUUCUUUUCCUCUUUACAGUUUAUUGGCAAAGUAUCAACUGUUUUAUAGGGCAAAUGCUGCCAUCCGCCCAGCUGUGCUCAGCAGUUACUGCCAGCGAGGAUGUUUCAGUUGGGACUCACACUAGGGUGACUCCAGGUUUAAAAGCCUGCCUCUGAAUGCAUCUCUUCAUGCCCUUUAAAUGUUGCAAAUCAAAGAGGCAUACAGGGAGGCUUGGCGAUUGGCAAACUUCCCACCAUAGUGAUGAGAAUAUAGCCCUUUGUGUGGCUAGAACAGCAAGGGGUGAGGAGGAGGAAUACAGGCAGCUUCUCUGGGAGGUCCAAAGCCCCAGUGACAAGCAGAGCAAAUUUCCUGAGGUCAGGGGAGAUACAGAGGAUACUUCACCAGCUACCGAAAACAUUGGGCAGCCCCUUCCUUAGAGACAUCAGUGCUAUUGUUUCUGCUCAUUUCUUCUUCCACGUUUAGCUCACACAUUUAUUCAUUCAGUCAACAUUCAUUAAGCACCUGCUAUGUGACAGUACCCCUAUAUGACAGACCAUGGAUUUAGUGUAGGUUUAAUAUGUCUCAGGGACCCUGGCUUGUACUG
RNAcentral lists this long non-coding RNA (1112 nucleotides) under Marmota monax (woodchuck). Lineage: Eukaryota; Metazoa; Chordata; Mammalia; Rodentia; Sciuridae. The record is from RNAcentral.